This 89-nucleotide transfer RNA is filed under the name Nitrososphaerota archaeon. RNAcentral's name for it is "Thaumarchaeota archaeon tRNA-Met". It matches the Rfam family "tRNA". From Rfam's summary of the family: Transfer RNA (tRNA) molecules are approximately 80 nucleotides in length. The record is from RNAcentral. Lineage: Archaea; Thermoproteati; Nitrososphaerota.
GGGCUCGUAACUCAGCUUGGCAGUGUACGUACGCUAAUAGUGACCGACUCAUAAUCGGUUUGUCGUGGGAUCGAAGCCCACCGGGCCCA